UCGCACAUCAGGCUGAACGACU
Molecule: microRNA, 22 nt
Filed under: Macacine gammaherpesvirus 4 (Rhesus lymphocryptovirus)
Lineage: Duplodnaviria; Heunggongvirae; Peploviricota; Herviviricetes; Herpesvirales; Orthoherpesviridae
Description: rlcv-miR-rL1-14-3p
Gene: rlcv-miR-rL1-14-3p
Source: miRBase by way of RNAcentral